This 332-nucleotide unclassified non-coding RNA is filed under the name soil metagenome. RNAcentral describes it as "partial contains 5.8S ribosomal RNA, internal transcribed spacer 2, and large subunit ribosomal RNA". The stretch from base 1 to 120 matches the Rfam family "5.8S ribosomal RNA", at positions 35 to 154 of the family's 154-position model. The record is from RNAcentral.
GAUGAAGAACGUAGCUAAAUGCGAUAAGUAAUGUGAAUUGCAGAAUUCAGUGAAUCAUCGAAUCUUUGAACGCACAUUGCGCCCGCCAGUAUUCUGGCGGGCAUGCCUGUCCGAGCGUCAUUUCAACCAUCAAGCCCCGGGCUUGUGUUGGGGACCUGCGUCCGACGCAGGCCCUGAAAACCAGUGGCGGGCUCGCUGUCCACACCGAGCGUAGUAACUAACCUCGCUAUGGAGUGGCGCGGGCGCCUGCCGUAAAACCCCCAAUUUCACAAGGUUGACCUCGGAUCAGGUAGGAAUACCCGCUGAACUUAAGCAUAUCAAUAAGCGGAGGA